Long non-coding RNA from Lycium barbarum (goji berry), 960 nucleotides. RefSeq lists it as uncharacterized. NCBI's taxonomy places the organism in Eukaryota, Viridiplantae, Streptophyta, Magnoliopsida, Solanales, Solanaceae. The record is from RefSeq and is a predicted model, not a curated record. The transcript is spliced from 3 exons.
GCAAUUUUGUCUCCAAAACCCCUACUCUAGAUGACAUUGAAUUGCCUGCAUAUAGCGAGACCCAGAUUGUUGCUAUUGAAAAUAGUUACUAUUCUAACAAUGUCACUCCGGAACAACAGCCAAGACUCAGAAAGACUGGAAAAUACAAAUCAUCUCCGUAUGUUGGUUUUAGUUCAGCUGGCAGCAGCUCGGGUAAAUCACCUAUAUAUUUCAACAUAAAACAUCCUUUUGCAAAUUACAAUGGAUUCGAAGUUGAUGAUGCACUGCUCAAUGAAUUUACAUCUUGGGUAUAUGCUAAAGUCUCUAAACGAAAGAACAGAAUUUCAGCAUACACUUUAAAGGACAACAAGAUUGUCAAUCCUUAUGAUUUGGGAGUUAAGAAAGUUGACAAAAUGGAGUAGUUCUACAAUGUCAUUCAAACUGGGAAAGCGUGGGAAGACUCGCAUGUUGAUGUCAUUAUGUAUUACUUGAGGAAAAAAGCAAAGUAUGGUCCAAAUAACCCAGUGUACACAACAACAGAUUGUUUUUUCAUAAAGUGGGUUGAGGCUAUCCACAAGCAGUACAAGGAAUAUAAAAAUGAUAAGCGUUUUAUUACUGCUGAUCAUAAUGUGGCAAAAAUUAUUCGUGGGUUUAAAUUGAUUGCAAAUAUUGCUUGGGAUAGAGUUGAUAAUGUGCUCAUCGCAGUCAAUAUAAGCAAAGAAUACCAUUGGGUGUUGGUUGUUUUAUGUAUGAAAAGAAGGUGUCUCUAUGUAUAUGAUUCAUUCCCGGGUGGGGCGAUGCAUACUAAUUCAAUUCGAGAAGUUGUUGAAAGGCUGGCCACCAUGAUACCUCUCUUUUUCAAUUGCACUAGAUUUUAUGGGAAAAGGAAUGACAUAAACUGGAUAACUGAACCAUCAUAUGUUGGGAAGAGCUUUGAUGAUCCUUUGGAAUAUGUCUUUGUGGAUCAUUUGCCAGAACAAC